Molecule: ribosomal RNA, 253 nt
Filed under: uncultured bacterium
Lineage: Bacteria
Description: partial 16S ribosomal RNA
Rfam family: Bacterial small subunit ribosomal RNA
Source: RNAcentral
UACGGCGGGUGCAAGCGUUAUCCGGAUUCACUGGGUUUAAAGGGCGCGUAGGUGGGGCUGUAAGUCAGUAGUGAAAUCUCCGGGCUUAACUCGGAAACUGCCGUUGAUACUAUAGAUCUUGAAUAUCGCGUAGGUAAGCGGAAUAUGUCAUGUAGCGGUGAAAUGCUUAGAUAUGACAUAGAACAACAAUUGCGAAGGCAGCUUACGUCACGAUCAUUGACACUGAGGCACGAAAGCGUGGGGAGCAAACAGG